Molecule: ribosomal RNA, 429 nt
Filed under: Chloroflexota bacterium
Lineage: Bacteria; Bacillati; Chloroflexota
Also listed under: 2 other names
Description: Chloroflexi bacterium partial 16S ribosomal RNA
Rfam family: Bacterial small subunit ribosomal RNA
Source: RNAcentral
UGGGGAAUCUUCGGCAAUGGACGAAAGUCUGACCGAGCAACGCCGCGUGAGUGAAGAAGGUUUUCGGAUCGUAAAACUCUGUUGUUAGAGAAGAACAAGGACGUUAGUAACUGAACGUCCCCUGACGGUAUCUAACCAGAAAGCCACGGCUAACUACGUGCCAGCAGCCGCGGUAAUACGUAGGUGGCAAGCGUUGUCCGGAUUUAUUGGGCGUAAAGCGAGCGCAGGCGGUUUCUUAAGUCUGAUGUGAAAGCCCCCGGCUCAACCGGGGAGGGUCAUUGGAAACUGGGAGACUUGAGUGCAGAAGAGGAGAGUGGAAUUCCAUGUGUAGCGGUGAAAUGCGUAGAUAUAUGGAGGAACACCAGUGGCGAAGGCGGCUCUCUGGUCUGUAACUGACGCUGAGGCUCGAAAGCGUGGGGAGCAAACAGG